Molecule: ribosomal RNA, 253 nt
Filed under: uncultured bacterium
Lineage: Bacteria
Description: partial 16S ribosomal RNA
Rfam family: Bacterial small subunit ribosomal RNA
Source: RNAcentral
UACGGGGGGGGCAAGCGUUGUUCGGAAUUACUGGGCGUAAAGGGCUCGUAGGUGGCCCCAUAAGUCAGACGUGAAAUCCCUCGGCUCAACCGAGGAACUGCGUCUGAGACUGUGGGGCUUGAAUCCGGGAGAGGGAUGCGGAAUUCCUGGUGUAGCGGUGAAAUGCGCAGAUAUCAGGAGGAACACCGAUGGCGAAGGCAGGUCUCUGGGCCACUACUGACGCUGAGAAGCGAAAGCAUGGGGAGCGAACAGG